This 37-nucleotide non-coding RNA is filed under the name Trypanosoma vivax. The record is from RNAcentral. Lineage: Eukaryota; Euglenozoa; Kinetoplastea; Trypanosomatida; Trypanosomatidae.
UAAACCACAAUAACAAAAAUGGAUAUAGACUAGUGAG